Paenisporosarcina sp. HGH0030 is the source of this 73-nucleotide transfer RNA. It matches the Rfam family "tRNA". From Rfam's summary of the family: Transfer RNA (tRNA) molecules are approximately 80 nucleotides in length. Lineage: Bacteria; Bacillati; Bacillota; Bacilli; Caryophanales; Caryophanaceae. The record is from Rfam.
GGGGUAUUAGCUCAGCUGGGAGAGCGUCACGCUGGCAGUGUGAAGGUCGUCGGUUCGAACCCGAUAUACUCCA